This is a non-coding RNA of Schizosaccharomyces pombe (fission yeast), 434 nucleotides long. The record is from the annotation of a GenBank genome assembly. Lineage: Eukaryota; Fungi; Ascomycota; Schizosaccharomycetes; Schizosaccharomycetales; Schizosaccharomycetaceae.
AAGAUGAUCUUCUUAAAGCAGCCAUGGCUAAGCAUUCAUAAUACGUGAUAGAUCAUGUUAUAGACUUCAUCUUUGUAGAUCAUAUAAAUGCUUAAGUGUUGAGUCAAUGACACAUAGACUGUACUUGUCUAUUUAAUUUGUCUAACGUAUUACAUUCAUAAAAAGCGCGUAAACGUGUUGAGUCUUAUAGAAGUUGUUAUGACUAGCAAUUCAAGAACAAGUCUGAUUCAUAACAUUAUUUAACAUUUCUUUAUUCCAUUUCAUUUUAUUCUUUCUCUAUGUUAAAAUUCUUGACUUUGCAAUAUAAACAGACAAAUAUGCACCAAGUAGCUUGUACAAAUAGCUCCUAAACGAUCUUUGAAUGCAUGAAGAUAAUAUUCUAUAUACCAAGGAUUUGAAUACUUCACGAUCUUACUGUAUGAAUAUAUAAACAA